CAGCAAGCUCUAGUUACCAUCUUUAUGUGUGAUCAGAAAGCCUGUAGUGGAUCCAUGAGGCGGGGAACAAGGCAUGGUGUUGGGACAUCAGCCAAAGGAUUGGACCUUGAGUCAGAGAGUCGGCAAAAGCGGUCCAAGGCGCCAGACUUGUCUCUGUUCUGA
This 162-nucleotide long non-coding RNA is filed under the name Capra hircus (goat). RNAcentral's name for it is "lncRNA (ENSCHIG00000005956.1)". The record is from RNAcentral. Lineage: Eukaryota; Metazoa; Chordata; Mammalia; Artiodactyla; Bovidae.